RNAcentral lists this transfer RNA (75 nucleotides) under bacterium. RNAcentral's name for it is "tRNA-Asn". It matches the Rfam family "tRNA". Rfam says of the family: Transfer RNA (tRNA) molecules are approximately 80 nucleotides in length. Their secondary structure includes four short double-helical elements and three loops (D, anti-codon, and T loops). The record is from RNAcentral.
UCCGCCGUAGCUCAGUGGUAGAGCAGUCGGCUGUUAACCGAUUGGUCGUAGGUUCGAAUCCUACCGGCGGAGCAA